ACCGAAGCUCGUAUCCGCCUCCGGGCGUGACGGGCGGCUGGUAUCCUCCUUCUGAGGAGUACAUGGCGCAGCGUGGGCAGGCCUUCGGGUCAUGAAUUCCCAACGUUGCGGCGGACCACUCCUUGGGCAACUCAGUGGGGGCAAUUGGAUAGUCCGUGGGCACCUUUGGCGGCUUUGGCCCUGGAGGUGGCCCGGGCUGGGCGUUGGGCUUCGGUCCAUGCCCUGACCUCUUAACCAAAUCCGACCCCUCUUCACGGAGGGUUGCCGGUGGUCCCUUCGCCCUUCCAGGGCGGAGUAGCUUCCCGGUGAAGAUAGUUACCUGGUUGAUUCUGCCAGUAGUCAUAUGCUUGUCUCAA
This 356-nucleotide unclassified non-coding RNA is filed under the name Cladonia leprocephala. RNAcentral's name for it is "partial 28S-18S ribosomal RNA intergenic spacer". The record is from RNAcentral. Lineage: Eukaryota; Fungi; Ascomycota; Lecanoromycetes; Lecanorales; Cladoniaceae.